Long non-coding RNA from Ahaetulla prasina, 1758 nucleotides. RefSeq lists it as uncharacterized. The transcript has 3 exons. NCBI's taxonomy places the organism in Eukaryota, Metazoa, Chordata, Lepidosauria, Squamata, Colubridae. The record is from RefSeq and is a predicted model, not a curated record.
UUUAACCUCUGGGACAGAAAUUAAUAUUGGCUAUUGUGGCUGACCUCAAUAGGUUAUUUCUGUAUUCUAAAUUACAGGCAUUUCAGAAAUGUAAACAUAAAGCUCAUGAAGUUUGACUGGCACUAUUGGCUUUGUUUCAUUGUUGCCCAUGGAUUUCAUGCAUCCUGCCCACUCCUCUGAAUGCGAUAGGCAGGCAAAUACUUAACAGGAAACAGAUGAACAAGUUCAACUGAAAGCUGAGAAUAUGUUCUAAAUUUACAGAAAGGCAGCACUGCAGCACAGUCUUCUCUCACACAUUGGAGCCAGGGAGAGGAUGCCAUGUGAAGGUCUCUGGAAGACAGAUUGUGACAGCAACUGCUAAGCCUUUAACACAAAGCAGGUGGUCAAACCAGAGUGUAAAAGGGCUGCCAAGACUUCCAACAAAUAAUAGCCACAACAUUUUUCAGCUAAAUCCAUUUGUAUUUUAUUUUCAUACAGACAACUGGAUCAAAACUAAAUUUAUUUGCUGAACAGCAGUCAACAAGCAACUUUAUGUUUUAAUUAUGCCUGAUAAAUAGAAAUAACUAUCAACUUUAGCUUAACUAUAAUUUGUUAGUUCUGACUCAUGGCACAAUAGAACAGUGCUUGUGCAUAUGUGCAUUUAUGUGCUUGUCUGACUACAGAUAAAUCAUUUUUCUAAGACUCAAAACAGCCCUAAACAUACAAGGAGUAUGAAUAUAUUUUACAGGUGAAGCUUCCCCUACUUCUUCUAAUUGUUUUUCAGAAUUGUUGUGGGAAGCCUCUUCAGCAAAUCUGAAAAUCUCCAAAUUCUCAUUGACAUUAUUUAAAAGGCAGUCUCCAGUUUAAGAAACCAUCACGUUAUAUAAACACAUCACAUUUCUUGAGGCAGAAUUGAUUUUCUGAAUUGUUUAACCAGUGUUUCUUGAUCUUCAUAGUUUUCAGAUAGGUUAGCUGACUGGGGAAUUCUGGGAGUUGAAGUCUACCCAUCAGAAAGCUCCAAAGUUGACAUACAACAACUUAAGAAGACUGAGGAAAUGUUCAAACUUAGGCACCUGUUUCACACUGAUAAUGAAUUCUUCAUCCAAGUCAAAGAAAAAAUAUACAGCUACUAAGAUGGAAGACAAUUAUUUUAUUAUUGAGUGGAACAAGUUUUUUAAAAAGGCUUUACUUCUUCCACACAACUAGAAAAUUAUUCACAGGUCACUUGCCAGUCAACCAACCAACCAACCAACCAACCAACCAACCAACCAAUCUAUUACAGUUCAUGUAAAGGAACAAAACAUAACUUAUUAUGAAGAUGAAGAUUAAGCCGAGUAUAGGUUGGAAGCCACAAAGCUCUCUUGUGAAGGGAAAGAGGAUUCCUUCCCAACAGACAACCUUCUCUGAAUUUUCUGGCAGUCAGUCAAAGUUAGUAACAAUCCUAAUUGUAAUAAAGAGUGCAAAAGCCAAGGAGAGGGAGAAUAAGGGACAUCUUAAGCUGUUGAGGAGAAUGUUUCCCUUUAAAAAAAACCAAAACCCUACUACCCAACAUUUACUUUCAUUUUUCCAAAAGGAAUAAAGGUGGUAAUGGAAGAGAGCAGAGCUAGUGUCUUAGUUUUCAUUCUCAUCACCAGAAAUGUUCAACAUAAGAAUAAUGCUUUGAAAGUUUUUAACUAGCGAUCUUUGGUUCCUGAAUAAGGGACUGACCUGGGGUACUUAGCCUUUUUUAUAAUUCCUAAUUCCUCUCCUAUCAAAUUAUCUCUUCCUUCCUUCCUUCCU